UACGUAGGUGGCGAGCGUUGUCCGGAUUUACUGGGCGUAAAGAGCGCGCAGGCGGUCGUAUAAGUCGAAUGUGAAAGCCCCUGGCUCAACUAGGGAGAGUCAUUCGAUACUGUUCGACUCGAAGGCAGGAGAGGGAAGUGGAAUUCCGGGUGUAGUGGUGAAAUGCGUAGAUAUCCGGAGGAACACCGGUGGCGAAGGCGGUUCUCUGGCAAUGUUCUGACGCUGAGGAGCGAAAGUGUGGGGAGCAAACAGG
RNAcentral lists this ribosomal RNA (253 nucleotides) under uncultured bacterium. RNAcentral's name for it is "partial 16S ribosomal RNA". It matches the Rfam family "Bacterial small subunit ribosomal RNA", at positions 524 to 776 of the family's 1533-position model. The record is from RNAcentral.